AGUUAUUUGGCUGAUAAGUAAAGCAUAUGUUUUGAAAGCAUAGGAUAGAGGUUAAAAUCCUUUAAUAACUU
RNAcentral lists this transfer RNA (71 nucleotides) under Euphausia pacifica (North Pacific krill). Its description in RNAcentral is "tRNA-Ser". It matches the Rfam family "tRNA". Rfam says of the family: Transfer RNA (tRNA) molecules are approximately 80 nucleotides in length. Their secondary structure includes four short double-helical elements and three loops (D, anti-codon, and T loops). Lineage: Eukaryota; Metazoa; Arthropoda; Malacostraca; Euphausiacea; Euphausiidae. The record is from RNAcentral.